This 330-nucleotide unclassified non-coding RNA is filed under the name soil metagenome. RNAcentral describes it as "partial contains 5.8S ribosomal RNA, internal transcribed spacer 2, and large subunit ribosomal RNA". The stretch from base 1 to 120 matches the Rfam family "5.8S ribosomal RNA", at positions 35 to 154 of the family's 154-position model. The record is from RNAcentral.
GAUGAAGAACGUAGCGAAAUGCGAUAAGUAGUGUGAAUUGCAGAAUUCAGUGAAUCAUCGAAUCUUUGAACGCACAUUGCGCCCCUUGGUAUUCCAUGUGGCAUGCCUGUUCGAGCGUCAUUUGUACCCUCAAGCUUUGCUUGGUGUUGGGCGUCUUGUCGUAUUACGACUCGCCUUAAAUACAUUGGCAGCCGGCACUUUGGCCUAGGAGCGCAGCACAUUUUGCGAUCGUAGCCCGUUGUACUGGCGUCCAUCAAGAACAUUUACCACGUUUGACCUCGGAUCAGGUAGGGAUACCCGCUGAACUUAAGCAUAUCAAUAAGCGGAGGA